GUAGAGAUUGAGAACUAAGUAGUAAAAAUAGAAAAGAGAUAGUAGUAGCAAUCAUUAAUGGUGGAGAGUCAGAUGGUAUUGUGAACUUAAGUUAGAACUAGAUGAGGAUAGUCUAAUUCGAUAGGAGCCUUGGAAGAAGCUCCUUCAAAAACUCCUUUGCACCAUCUCUACCAUUGCGUACAUUAGAAAUAAGGAUCAGACAAAUAAAAACAUGAGAG
This 218-nucleotide long non-coding RNA is filed under the name Elaeis guineensis (African oil palm). Its description in RNAcentral is "long non-coding RNA (EGUI_LNC020018)". Lineage: Eukaryota; Viridiplantae; Streptophyta; Magnoliopsida; Arecales; Arecaceae. The record is from RNAcentral.